RNAcentral lists this transfer RNA (85 nucleotides) under Loxodonta africana (African savanna elephant). It matches the Rfam family "tRNA". Rfam says of the family: Transfer RNA (tRNA) molecules are approximately 80 nucleotides in length. Their secondary structure includes four short double-helical elements and three loops (D, anti-codon, and T loops). Further hydrogen bonds mediate the characteristic L-shaped molecular structure. tRNAs have two regions of fundamental functional importance: the anti-codon, which is responsible for specific mRNA codon recognition, and the 3' end, to which the tRNAs corresponding amino acid is attached (by aminoacyl-tRNA synthetases). tRNAs cope with the degeneracy of the genetic code in two manners: having more than one tRNA (with a specific anti-codon) for a particular amino acid; and 'wobble' base-pairing, i.e. permitting non-standard base-pairing at the 3rd anti-codon position. Lineage: Eukaryota; Metazoa; Chordata; Mammalia; Proboscidea; Elephantidae. The record is from Rfam by way of RNAcentral.
CCAGUGGUAGUUCAGUGGUAGAAUUUUCACCUUCCAUUUUUUUAUUUUCUAUGUGGAGGCCUGGGUUUGAGUCCCAGCCACUGCA